Prionailurus viverrinus (fishing cat) is the source of this 277-nucleotide long non-coding RNA. RefSeq lists it as uncharacterized. The transcript has 2 exons. The record is from RefSeq and is a predicted model, not a curated record. Lineage: Eukaryota; Metazoa; Chordata; Mammalia; Carnivora; Felidae.
AGGAGCCCCAGCCCCGGGAGUCCCAGGUGUUCCCAUUCUGUGAUCAGCACAGAACAUAGACACCUCACCAUGGAGUUUGUGCUUGGCUGGGUAUUCCUUGUUGCUCUUUUAAAAGACACAAGUGUGACGUGCAGCUGGUGGAGUCUGGAGGAGACCUGGUGAAGCCUGGGGGGUCCCUGAGACUCACCUGUGUGGCCUCUGGAUUCACCUUCAGUAGCUAUAGCAUGCACUGGGUCCGCCAGGCUCCAGGGAAGGGGCUGCAGUGGGUCGCAUAUAU